ACCAGUGUUCAAUACAGUUAUUUGGGAGUAAGUAAUAACAUUUUAUUCCCAGUGCUAUCUGACUUAUAUUGCAUUAAAAUAAAUAUCUAAAUUGAAAUCAAGUUAAACCCUUAAGAAUACAAUAAUUAAGAUCUCCUAAAUCUGAUGUGUGUGUUAUUAUCAUCUGCAAGCCCUUUGGUGCCCCCUGUGCCCCAAUGUCACUGUCUCACAGGGUCUGCUGUGGGCGCUGCUCCAGGUUUGGCUGUGCAUUCAUUUGCUCCCCAUCCCUGGCAGGAGCCUCUCUCUGCUGCCAGUCAGGAACUUUCACUCAGCCAGUCACCCCUAACCACACUCUUAGAUCCAGACCAGAUUUGUUGCUUUGGUUCCCUGCACUGGUGUAGCUCAGUAAAUAAUGAAGCGUGAUGCCGGUCAAGCUUUCAAGCAGGCUUCUCAAGCAGCCCUUGCAAACCCACGCACCAGCCCCUGGCACAGUGUUGGUCUGGAGGUGACAGAGAGGGCUGAGGGCCAUGCUGGGCUGGGAACAAUCCAUGGAGCAGGACAGCCCUCACCUCAUCCUGGAGAUUUGAAGCAUUUGAAGAUACAAGGGGUUAAACAAACCAAGAGGAUGCAGAUUUGGUACAAGGCACAAUAUCUGCCUAUGUUUUGCCAUAUUCACGUAUUCCAGGAGCAAACAGGAGGCACUGAAGGGGCAGGAUGGUGGCUCCUUUGCCAAGCAAAAAGAGGAUAUAUUUUCCCCUCCUCAUUAUCCUACUCCAUCUCAGGCUGAGGCUAAACAAAGCCAUGAACAGCCACAAUGAAACAACAAGGGAAACUACUGGAGUUUUUGGAGUGGGAUGGUUUGGAAUUUUUUAUUUAACAUUGACAUAUUUUCAGUAAUAAGAGAAGAUGCACAUAUACACACAAAAGAGGUCUCUUUCCAAGAGAAAUGAUACAACAAAACUCUGAUUGUAAUUCAAGAAUUGAGGUGGCAUGUGUAUAUGUAAUAAAUCUCACAGAAGAGAAUCUUUUGUGACAUUCUGUUACAAGGGGAAUGAGAAAAGCUGCACAGACACAAAAGUGUGGGAGUGAACAAGAGCAUCUCUGCAGAAUGGAUC
Molecule: long non-coding RNA, 1094 nt
Filed under: Ficedula albicollis (Collared flycatcher)
Lineage: Eukaryota; Metazoa; Chordata; Aves; Passeriformes; Muscicapidae
Description: lncRNA (ENSFALG00000025732.1)
Source: RNAcentral